AAGCAGACAAUAGAAGAUCUCAUCAUAAAUAUAAGGGUAUUGGAUCGCAACUGUCUUCACUGGGACAUCGAAUGAGACGUCAACAUAUGCACAUUCUUCACAUUUCACUCUCCUCUUCAUAUGGAAGUAAUGCAACUGGUAACCCACUGUUACAGAUGACACAGAUCACUAUAGUCUAAUACUAAUCAAAUCAAAUUUGUCACAACGCCUUAACCAACAAUGCAUUUAAGAAAAAAAGUGUUAAGAAAGUAUUGACUAAAAUAAACUGAAGUUAAAAAAAAAUAACAAUAGAAUGAAAAUAGAAAAAUAACAAAUAAUAAAUUAAGGAGCAACAAUAAAAUAACAAUAGCGAGGCUAUAUGCAGGGGGUACCGGUACAGAGUCAAUGUGGAGGCUAUAUACAGGGGGUACCGGUACAGAGUCAAAGUGGAGGCUAUAUACAGGCGGUACCGGUACAGAGUCAAUGUGGAGGCUAUAUACAGGGUGUUACGGUACAGAGUCAAUGUGGAGGCUAUAUACAGGGUGUUACGGUACAGAGUCAAUGUGGAGGCUAUAUACAGGGGGUACUGGUACAGAGUCAAUGUGGAGGCUAUAUACAGGGGGUACCGGUACAGAGUCAAUGUGGAGGCUAUAUACAGGGGGUACCGGUACAGAGUCAAUGUGGAGGCUAUAUACAGGGGGUACCGGUACAGAGUCAAUGUGGAGGCUAUAUACAGGGGGUACCGGUACAGAGUCAAUGUGGAGGCUAUAUACAGGGGGUACUGGUACAGAGUCAAUGUGGAGGCUAUAUACAGGGGAUACCGGCACAGAGUCAAUGUGCGGGGGUACAGGUCAGUCGAGGUAAUUGAGGUAAUAUGUAGGUAGAGGUACAUGUAGGUAGAGGUAAAGUGACUAUGCACAGAUAAUAAACAGAGACAGAGAGUAGCAGCAGCGUAAUAAUGGGCGGUGGGGACAAUGCAAAUAUUCCGGGUAGCCAUUUGAUUAGCUGUUAACGGGUCUUAUGGCUUGAGGGUAAAAACUGUUUAGAAGCCUUUUGGACCUAGGCUUGGCGCUCCGGUACCGCUUGCCGUGCAGUAGCAGAGAGAACAGUCUAUGACUAGGGUGGCUGGAGUCUGACAAUUUGCGCACGGCCCAGUACAUCACUGGAGCCAAGCUUCCAGCCAUCCAGGACCUACAGUUGAAGUCAGAAGUUUACAUACACCUUAGCCAAAUACAUUUAAACUCAGUUUUUCUUUACAUUUAAACUCAAUUCCUGACAUUUAAUCCCAGUAAAAAUGCCCUGUCUUAGGUCAGAUAGGAUCACCACUUUAUUUUAAGAAUGUGAAAUGUCAGAAUAAUAGUAGAGAGAAUGAUUUAUUUCAGCUUUUAUUUCUUUCAUCACAUUCCCAGCGGGUCAGAAGUUGUCAUACACUCAAUUAGUAUUUGGUGGCAUUGCCUUUAAAUUGUUUAACUUGGGUCAAACGUUUCGGGUAGCCUUCCACAAGCUUCCCACAAUAAGUUGGGUGAAUUUUGGCCCAUUCCUCCUGACAGAGCUGGUGUGACUGAGUCAGGUUUGUAGGCCUCUUUUUUGAAGAUAGAUUUGUAUUUGGCGCAUGUGAUAAAUACAAUUUUAUUUAUUAUUGAUGUUAUUUAUUAUUAUUGUUAUUUAUUAUUGUUGCCCAUUGUUGAUAUGCUGUAUGUGUGUGAAUGAGAUUUAAACAUGAAAACACAUUGAAAAGCUAUUUGGCUUCAGGUAUUCAAACACAACAGAGGCAUGGCAGUGCCACUCAUAGUCCUAGAUAUACCAAAAGCCUUAUGAAACAUUUUAAAGACAGAAUAACACAAUAAGGGCUACUUAUAUGCAGGCUAAGGUGUUUGAAUGUAAUCAUGUCGGCCAUAUUGGAUUCAGAAUAUAAUUGAUUUACACUAACACUCUUUGUAGUGUGUUGUACACAAUUCAUAUUUACAGGUGAUUUAACCGCCGACAAAUAUUGCAGUAUUAUGGCAGCCAUAUUGUAUUUUGGACGCCAUAUUAGAUUUUGACAAAAUAUAAAGAUAAUCUGUGAUGGCCCACUGAUUUAAUUACAAGACUGAGGGCUAAGAAUACAACAUCCUUUAAGAAAACCUUGGACCCCAACAAAAUGUAAUUCGAUGUCUGAGCCCACUUGUUUACAAAAUAAAAAAAUAUAAAUUUUUGUCAUGCAGGACCAUUACAAUACUGAAUAAGAGCACGUUUGACUUGGAAAGUUGUCUAUUGAACAGCAGUGAAGUUUAUAAUCAUCAUAAAUAUUCAUAGUUGAUAUUUCUGCCUAUUUUAUGUGUGUUUACUGGUCUAUCCAAGAUGCAUGAAGAUAUUCUGUUUGUUUGUGUACGUAUGGCAACAAUAUCAGCGCUUGCAAUAUUGGGUUACAUGAGCUAAUGUGCCUCACCUCCUCCAGCCAGGCGUUAUUCUGCACUUUUUGAGUUAAGGGGGAGUCACAAUAUCUAUCAAUUUAACAACUUUUGCAGUAAAAUAUUUUUACACAACCAUCCAUUUCCUAUAUGGGAGACCUUAGAGCUAUGGAAAAACAUGGUUGUGUUUUCUUAUAUACCUCAGUUAGCGGGUAUGUAACGGAAACACAGGGAGUCAGGAAGCAGGUUGAAAUGGUGAGUUCAAUAAUAACGAAAACGGAGAGAAGCAUCUGGACAAGAAAGCAGAACCAAUACUGCCUGAUGAGUUGUAGAGUACUAGAUAAAGGGGAAGUAAUCAGAGUAGUGAUGAGGGUUGCCAGGUGUGCGUAAUGAGGGUUGCCAGGUAUGCGUAGUUAGGAAACCGGAUUUUACUACUAUCUUAGUUUGUAUCAGUGCCUUCCAAAGUGUUACAGGUAUUAUUUGUGUCACCGCUCUUCGAACUUGGCGACUUCAAUCUCCAGACGUCUGCCUUCAAUUCAUUUAUUUCCAUCUCUCUCUUUCCCCUCCUUGCCUCAUUUGACCUCAUCCUUUCCCAGUCCCCUCCAACUCACAAGGCAGGCAAUACUCUUGACCUCAUCUUUACGAGAGGCUGUUCUCCUACUAAUCUCACUGGAACCCCCCCUCCAGGUCUCUGUUCUCCUACUAAUCUCACUGUAACCCCCCUCCAGGUCUCUGUUCUCCUACUAAUCUCACUGUAACCCCCCUCCAGGUCUCUGUUCACUAUUCUGUUUCCUUUCCUGUCUCCUUUCCUCCAACCCUAACCACUCAGCCCCUACCCAGAUAGUCAUGCACUGUCGCAAUUUUCUCUCUCUCCCACUAAUCAUCAAAUCAAAUCAAAUUUAUUUAUAAAGCCCUUCUUACAUCAGAUGAUAUCUCAAAGUACUGUACAGAAACCCAGCCUAAAACCCCAAACAGCAAGCAAUGUAGGUGUAGAAGCACGGUGGCUAGGAAAAACUCCCUAGAAAGGCCAAAACCUAGGAAGAAACCUAGAGAGGAACCAGGCUAUGAGGGGUGGCCAGUCCUCUUCUGGCUGUGCCGGGUGGAGAUUAUAACAGAACAUGGCCAAGAUGUUCAAAUGUUCAAAAAUGACCAGCAUGGUCAAAUAAUAAUAAUCACAGUUGUCGAGGGUGCAACAAGUCAGCACCUCAGGAGUAAAUGUCAGUUGGCUUUUCAUAGCUGAUCAUUCAGAGUAUCUCUACCGCUCCUGCUGUCUCUAGAGAGUUGAAAACAGCAGGUCUGGGACAGGUAGCACGUCCGGUGAACAGGUCAGGGUUCCAUUUAUGAACGCAGGCAGAACAGUUGAAACUGGAGCAGCAGCACGGCCAGGUGGACUGGGGACAGCAAGGAGUCAUCAUGUCAGGUAGUCCUGAGGCAUGGUCCUAGGGCUCAGGUCCUCCGAGAGAGAGAAAGAAAGAAAGAAAGAAAGAAAGAAAGAAAGAAAGAAAGAAAGAAAGAAAGAAAGAAAGAAAGAGAGAAAGAGAGAAUUAGAGAGAGCAUACUUAAAUUCACACAGGACACCGGAUAAGACAAGAGAAAUACUCCAGAUAUAACAGACUGACCCUAGCCCCCCGACACAUAAACUACUGCAGCAUAAAUACUGGAGGCUGAGACAGGAGGGGUCAGGAGACACUGUGGCCCCAUCCGACGAUACCCCCGGACAGGGCCAAACAGGAAGGAUAUAACCCCACCCACUUUGCCAAAGCACAGCCCCCACACCACUAGAGGGAUAUCUUCAACCACCAACUUACCAUACUGAGACAAUGCCGAGUAUAGCCCACAAAGAUCUCCGCCACGGCACAACCCAAGGGGGGGGGGGUGCAAACCCAGACAGGAAGACCACAUCAGUGACUCAACCCACUCAAGUGACACACCCCUCCUAGGGACGGCAUGGAAGAACACCCAUAAGCCAGUGACUCUACUGUCCUUUUCUAUCCUAUCAUUUCUUGCUUCUGCUAAAUCCUACCUCUUGUCUCCUGAUCCUGCCUCUUCGACCUUACUCUCCUCCCUUUCCACAUCAUAUGACUCGCACUGUCCCCAUUUCUCCCGGCCGGCUAGGCCCUCCCCUCCUGCUCUGUGUCUGAGUGACUCAUUGCGAGCUUACAGAACAGGGCUAACAGAACAGGGUAAACAGAACAGGGCUUACAGAACAGGGCUUACAGAACAGAAAAUGGAGAAAAACUGAACUUCUGGAGGACCAAUCAUCCUUUCACUCCCUCCUCUCUUCCUUCUCUUCCUCUGUAUCUGCUGCUAAAGCCACUUUCUACCACUCUAAAUGUCAAGCUUCUGCCUCUAACCCUGGGAAACUGUUUUCCACCUUCUCCUCCCUCCUAAGUCCUACCCCACCCUCCCCCUCCCUCCUCCCUCUCUACGGACAACUUUGUGAAUCUCAUUGAAAGGAAGGUUAACGUCUUCCGCUCCUCAUUCACUCAGCAUAUUGAGUCCACUGGUCCCACUCAAACAGAACUACCCUACUCCUUGACCUCUUUCUCCCCUCUUUCUCCAGUUGAAAUCCUGCAAUUAGUGAGGUCCGGCCUGCACAACAACCUGCCCGCUCGCCCCCCAUCCCCUCCUCCCUUAUUCCAGACUAUCUCUGGAGAUCUUCUCCCAUUCCUCACUUCCCUCAUCAACUCAUCCCUGACAACAGGCUGCAUCCCCUCCUCCCUUAUCCAGACCAUCUCUGGAGACCUUCUCCCAUUCCUCACUUCCCUCAUCAACUCAUCCCUGACCACUGGCUGCGUCCUCUCUGAGUUCAAAAUGUCCCGAGUCGCUCCCCUCCUCAGGAAACCAACACUCGACUCCUCUGAUGUCAAAAACUAUAGGCCUGUAUCCCUUCUUUCUUUUAUUUUGCUGCUAAAGUUAAGUACACCCCAGUUUGUUGGCUGUACACAUUGUACACCACAGCUUAUUGGCUGCACACAUAAGACAUUUGGCUGGGACAUGUUGUCAUGGUAAUUCCCCUUCCUUCAAUAAAAGCUUUGCAACAGCCUCAU
Molecule: long non-coding RNA, 5419 nt
Filed under: Salmo salar (Atlantic salmon)
Lineage: Eukaryota; Metazoa; Chordata; Actinopteri; Salmoniformes; Salmonidae
Description: lncRNA (ENSSSAG00000094903.1)
Source: RNAcentral